GAGGGUAUAGCUCAAGAGGUAGAGCGCAUGCUUAGCAUGUAAGAAGCCCUGGGUUCAAUCCCCAGUACCUCCU
This is a transfer RNA of Camelus ferus (Wild Bactrian camel), 73 nucleotides long. It matches the Rfam family "tRNA". From Rfam's summary of the family: Transfer RNA (tRNA) molecules are approximately 80 nucleotides in length. Lineage: Eukaryota; Metazoa; Chordata; Mammalia; Artiodactyla; Camelidae. The record is from Rfam.